This 22-nucleotide unclassified non-coding RNA is filed under the name Mus musculus (house mouse). RNAcentral describes it as "oocyte_clustered_small_RNA11274". The record is from RNAcentral. Lineage: Eukaryota; Metazoa; Chordata; Mammalia; Rodentia; Muridae.
UAUCUUCAAAGCUCCUACACAA